RNAcentral lists this ribosomal RNA (370 nucleotides) under Acidiferrobacteraceae bacterium. RNAcentral describes it as "bacterial LSU rRNA". It matches the Rfam family "Bacterial large subunit ribosomal RNA", at positions 2545 to 2925 of the family's 2925-position model. Lineage: Bacteria; Pseudomonadati; Pseudomonadota; Gammaproteobacteria; Acidiferrobacterales; Acidiferrobacteraceae. The record is from RNAcentral.
UCCUGGGGCUGGAGCAGGUCCCAAGGGUUCGGCUGUUCGCCGAUUAAAGUGGUACGUGAGCUGGGUUUAGAACGUCGUGAGACAGUUCGGUCCCUAUCUACCGUGGGUGUUGGAGACUUGUGAGGCGCUGUCCCUAGUACGAGAGGACCGGGAUGGACGCUCCUCUGGUGGACCGGUUGUCGCGCCAGCGGCAUAGCCGGGUAGCUAAGAGCGGACGGGAUAACCGCUGAACGCAUAUAAGCGGGAAGCCCUCCUCGAAACAAGGUCUCCCUUGAGAGCCGUGGAAGACGACCACGUUGAUAGGCCGGGUGUGGAAGCGCAGUAAUGUGUGAAGCUAACCGGUCCUAAUCACUCGAAAGACUUGAGACGC